This 253-nucleotide ribosomal RNA is filed under the name uncultured bacterium. RNAcentral describes it as "partial 16S ribosomal RNA". It matches the Rfam family "Bacterial small subunit ribosomal RNA", at positions 524 to 776 of the family's 1533-position model. The record is from RNAcentral.
UACGUAGGGCGCAAGCGUUAUUCGGAAUUAUUGGGCGUAAAGAGUUCGUAGGCGGUUUGUUGCGUCUGAUGUGAAAGCCCGGGGCUCAACCCCGGAUCUGCGGUGGGUACGGGCAGACUAGAGUGAUGUAGGGGAGACUGGAAUUCCUGGUGUAGCGGUGAAAUGCGCAGAUAUCAGGAGGAACACCGAUGGCGAAGGCAGGUCUCUGGGCAUUAACUGACGCUGAGGAACGAAAGCAUGGGGAGCAAACAGG